Molecule: ribosomal RNA, 252 nt
Filed under: uncultured Gardnerella sp.
Lineage: Bacteria; Bacillati; Actinomycetota; Actinomycetes; Bifidobacteriales; Bifidobacteriaceae
Description: partial 16S ribosomal RNA
Rfam family: Bacterial small subunit ribosomal RNA
Source: RNAcentral
GGGUAGAGUAAUGCGUGACCAACCUGCCCCAUGCUCCAGAAUAGCUCUUGGAAACGGGUGGUAAUGCUGGAUGCUCCAACUUGACGCAUGUCUUGUUGGGAAAGUGUUUAGUGGCAUGGGAUGGGGUCGCGUCCUAUCAGCUUGUAGGCGGGGUAAUGGCCCACCUAGGCUUCGACGGGUAGCCGGCCUGAGAGGGCGGACGGCCACAUUGGGACUGAGAUACGGCCCAGACUCCUACGGGAGGCAGCAGCC